GGAAUAGAAAGAUGUCUCAUAUUAUUCUCAACUGGUAAUAAGUUCUUGUGAAACAUGCUUAACAAUCAAACCGAAUGAGGGUGUCCCAAUCUACUAUGCCAAAGGUACCACAACUGUUCCGAAUUAAGUUUAACAACAUAACUAGAAGAAAAAGAAAUACCAAAACUACCGGAUCUCGUGGAAUGCUCGGUAUCGCCGGUUGACCGAGAUUGACUACCCAUAUCCAAAGCUUCCUAGUAAAUUUUUUGGCCAUAUCUACUCUCUUGUCCCAGUAUCUUCAUUGCCUGCGGAUCCUGAACCACACAACCAGAGGCACCAAAAACAAUUGUAGCCAGAUGCAAUUAAUUGACAAACAUAAACUAAAUUCGGAACAAGUUUGGGCACAUGAAAAGUAGCAGGCUAAGCGAGAGUAAAUGUUUCAACAGUCCCAAUGCCAGCAACAGGUAACUUUUGACCAUUAGCAACAUUAAUAAAGGGAUUUGUAAUAGGAGUAUAACUAAGAAACAAAUUGGCAUCACUUGUCAUAUGAUUGAUGCAUCAGAAUCAAGAAACCAAGGUUAAGCAGAACUUUUACAUGAAAGACCAAUAGUCGAGAAGGCUGAGGUAAUUGCUUGAGGGAGAACGCAUACGAGUUCUUCUUGAACCAGUUGAGCAAUAUUAAGGGAAGGAGUCGAGCUGUUCACCGAAGCAGAAUCUUGAUCAGUAUAACUGGUAGCACCAUAACUAGGAGAAAACUUUUCGCGAUGACCAGGAGCACGACAGUCAGAGAUAUUGUGACCGAUACGCUUACAGUAGUUGCAAAUGUUACGUUUCCUGCAGAUAAACUGCGGAUGACCAAACUCUUGACAAAAUGAGCACUUAAUUGGACCAGGAGAAGCAGUUGUUGAUUUGGGAUUAAUAUGUUGAGAAGAACCAAUUGAGACAGCCGGUUGGGCACCCGAUUUCGAGUAGAACUGGAGACUGGUACCGCUUCCACGACCAGUCGGCCGACCAACAUAAAAAACAGAGGCUGAACUCCCUUGCCCGUCGAGGAUUGCCUGAGUGUGAAACUAGGUUUCUGCCCGAAUCAGCUCGCUUAGUGUAUCCUGGAUAUCCAUCUUGUCUUCCGCAAUUAAUCGAGAGCGAACUUGCUCGUAUUCGGGACGAAGCCACAUCAAAAACUGAAAAUUAUGGCGACCUUGUCGUUCCUUAAUAAUAGUAGAAUCGGCCGCCGCAGUCAAUCGAGGAAAGGAAAUCAAGUUCCCCAUGGUACUAUUUUUUAUCCGCCUAGUGACGUAGCUAGACACUUAAGUGAAGCUUCUAUGAGAACAUGUCGAACAAGUACUCUUUUUCUGCUUCUCCUAACCGUAAAAUUCGGAGGAGGAAAUUAUAUUUCCCUACUAACCGAUUUAUAGCUGGACUCCAGCCUCUUACUUAAAUACAAUAUAUACAUGAAUUAGAAGUUUGCACGUGAUCCGCUACCGAUUUGUUCUGUUGCUACUAACCAAUGCAUCCGACAUUGUUAAGGUGGAGGGUUCCUAUUUGUUAUUUGUUCAAUUUUUUUGCUGGUUGGCUUACUUUCUAGUUUUCUUGUUGUUGUUGCUUUACUUCGUACCUAAACCACUAAAUUAUAUAGGAUUUUUAUUAUUUUUUUUCUU
Molecule: long non-coding RNA, 1637 nt
Filed under: Linum usitatissimum (flax)
Lineage: Eukaryota; Viridiplantae; Streptophyta; Magnoliopsida; Malpighiales; Linaceae
Description: long non-coding RNA (LUSI_LNC006793)
Source: RNAcentral